Molecule: ribosomal RNA, 477 nt
Filed under: uncultured bacterium
Lineage: Bacteria
Description: bacterial SSU rRNA
Rfam family: Bacterial small subunit ribosomal RNA
Source: RNAcentral
UUCGCAAUGCCCGAAAGGGUGACGAAGCGACGCCGCGUGUGGGAAGAAGGCCUUCGGGUUGUAAACCACUGUUGGGAGUUAGGAAAUGUGGAGGUGUUAAUAGCGCUUUCACUUGACUAAAGCUCCAGAGGAAGCCACGGCUAACUCUGUGCCAGCAGCCGCGGUAAUACAGAGGCGGCAAGCGUUGUUCGGAAUUAUUGGGCGUAAAGAGCACGUAGGCGGCUCUGCAAGUCAGCUGUGAAAGCCUUCUGCCUAACGGAAGAACGGCAGUUGAAACUACAGGGCUUGAGUGCGGGAGGGGAGAGUGGAACUUCUGGUGGAGCGGUGAAAUGCGUAGAUAUCAGAAGGAACGCCGGCGGCGAAAGCGGCUCUCUGGCUCGUAACUGACGCUGAGUGUGCGAAAGCUAGGGGAGCAAACGGGAUUAGAUACCCCGGUAGUCCUAGCCGUAAACGAUGGGCACUAAGUAGAGGGGUUUU